RNAcentral lists this ribosomal RNA (253 nucleotides) under uncultured bacterium. RNAcentral's name for it is "partial 16S ribosomal RNA". It matches the Rfam family "Bacterial small subunit ribosomal RNA", at positions 524 to 776 of the family's 1533-position model. The record is from RNAcentral.
UACAGGGGAUGCGAGUGUUAUCCGGAAUUAUUGGGCGUAAAGGGUUUUUAGGUUGAUAUCUAAGUCGUUUAUUAAAGCAUUGAUCUUAAAUCAAUAACAGUAUACGAAACUAGAUAUCUAGAGUAUGGGGGAGGUAAAUUCAAUUUUCAGUGUAGCGGUAAAAUGCGUCGAUAUUGAAAGGAAAACCAAAGGCGAAAGCAAUUUACUAGAACAAUACUGACACUAAAGAACGAAAGCUAGGGGAGCAAAUGGG